GUCUACGGCCGUACCACCCUGAAUGCGCCCGAUCUCAUCUGAUCUCGGAAAUGAAGCAGGGUUUGGCCUCGUUAGAGCUUGGAUGGGAGAUAGUGGUCCCCAACCUUUGUGGCAUCAGGGACCGGUGCUC
RNAcentral lists this ribosomal RNA (130 nucleotides) under Pteropus alecto (black flying fox). Lineage: Eukaryota; Metazoa; Chordata; Mammalia; Chiroptera; Pteropodidae. The record is from RNAcentral.